This 239-nucleotide ribosomal RNA is filed under the name uncultured Tepidisphaerales bacterium. RNAcentral's name for it is "partial 16S ribosomal RNA". It matches the Rfam family "Bacterial small subunit ribosomal RNA", at positions 531 to 769 of the family's 1533-position model. The record is from RNAcentral. Lineage: Bacteria; Pseudomonadati; Planctomycetota; Phycisphaerae; Tepidisphaerales.
GGUGCGAGCGUUAAUCGGAAUUACUGGGCGUAAAGCGUGCGCAGGCGGUUUUGUAAGACAGAUGUGAAAUCCCCGGGCUUAACCUGGGAACUGCGUUUGUGACUGCAAGGCUAGAGUACGGCAGAGGGGGGUGGAAUUCCUGGUGUAGCAGUGAAAUGCGUAGAUAUCAGGAGGAACACCGAUGGCGAAGGCAGCCCCCUGGGCCUGUACUGACGCUCAUGCACGAAAGCGUGGGGAGC